RNAcentral lists this ribosomal RNA (465 nucleotides) under uncultured bacterium. Its description in RNAcentral is "partial 16S ribosomal RNA". It matches the Rfam family "Bacterial small subunit ribosomal RNA", at positions 28 to 507 of the family's 1533-position model. The record is from RNAcentral.
GAUGAACGCUGGCGGCGUGCUUAACACAUGCAAGUCGAACGGAAAGGCUCCUGCUUGCUGGGGUACUCGAGUGGCGAACGGGUGAGUAACACGUGGGUGAUCUGCCCUGCACUUCGGGAUAAGACUGGGAAACUGGGUCUAAUACCGGAUAGGACCACAUUUUGGAUGGUGUGGUGGAAAGUUUUUCGGUGUGGGAUGAGCUCGCGGCCUAUCAGCUUGUUGGUGGGGUAAUGGCCUACCAAGGCGUCGACGGGUAGCCGGCCUGAGAGGGUGUACGGCCACAUUGGGACUGAGAUACGGCCCAGACUCCUACGGGAGGCAGCAGUGGGGAAUAUUGCACAAUGGGCGCAAGCCUGAUGCAGCGACGCCGCGUGUGGGAUGACGGCCUUCGGGUUGUAAACUCCUUUCGCUAGAGACGAAGCGCAAGUGACGGUACCUGGAGAAGAAGCACCGGCUAACUACGUG